CUACGGGAUGCUGCAGUGGGGAAUAUUGGACAAUGGGGGAAACCCUGAUCCAGCAAUGCCGCGUGUGUGAAGAAGGCCUGCGGGUUGUAAGGCACUUUCGGUUGGGAGGACUGCUUCUAGCACUAAUAUUGUUGGAAGUUGACGUUACCUUCAGAAGAAGCACCGGCUAACUCCGUGCCAGCAGCCGCGGUAAUACGGAGGGGUGCAAGCGUUAAUCGGAAUUACUGGGCGUAAAGCGCGCGUAGGCGGCUAGAUCAGUCGGGUGUGAAAGCCCCGGACUUAACCGGGGAACUGCAUCCGAUACUGUCUAGCUAGAGUACAGGAGAGGAGAGUGGAAUUCCACAUGUAGCGGUGAAAUGCGUAGAUAUGUGGAGGAACACCAAUGGCGAAGGCAGCUCUCUGGCCUGAUACUGACGCUGAGGUGCGAAAGCGUGGGGAGCAAACAGGAUUAGAUACCCGAGUAGUC
This 466-nucleotide ribosomal RNA is filed under the name uncultured bacterium. Its description in RNAcentral is "partial 16S ribosomal RNA". It matches the Rfam family "Bacterial small subunit ribosomal RNA", at positions 339 to 795 of the family's 1533-position model. The record is from RNAcentral.